Molecule: non-coding RNA, 73 nt
Organism: Trichonephila clavipes
Lineage: Eukaryota; Metazoa; Arthropoda; Arachnida; Araneae; Nephilidae
Source: the annotation of a GenBank genome assembly
AUCCCUAUAGCGUAAUGGAUAGCGGAUUGGACUUCUAAUCCAAAGUUCGUGGAUUCUAAUCCCACCUGGGAUG